UACGAGAGGCCCAAACGUUAUUCGGAUUUACUGGGCUUAAAGAGUUCGUAGGCGGCGCAGCAAGUAGGGUGUGAAAGCCCUCGGCUCAACCGAGGAAUUGCGCUCUAAACUACUGCGCUCGAGGAACCUAGAGGUGAGCAGAACUGAUGGUGGAGCGGUGAAAUGCGUUGAUAUCAUCAGGAAUACCGGAGGCGAAGGCGGCUCACUGGGGGUUUUCUGACGCUGAGGAACGAAAGCCAGGGGAGCGAACGGG
RNAcentral lists this ribosomal RNA (253 nucleotides) under uncultured bacterium. RNAcentral's name for it is "partial 16S ribosomal RNA". It matches the Rfam family "Bacterial small subunit ribosomal RNA", at positions 524 to 776 of the family's 1533-position model. The record is from RNAcentral.